This is a long non-coding RNA of Cavia porcellus (domestic guinea pig), 31621 nucleotides long. RefSeq lists it as uncharacterized. The record is from RefSeq and is a predicted model, not a curated record. NCBI's taxonomy places the organism in Eukaryota, Metazoa, Chordata, Mammalia, Rodentia, Caviidae. The transcript has 3 exons.
CUGUACAAUGAUUGCGUCUGGCCUCCAUUGUGAUGGCAGAGAGAAGCGCUCUGCGGUGUAGAUGGCAGGAGCGAGCAGUGGCAGGAAAGGCUGUUUCCCAAAGCUGUGCGAUUAUCUUGAGUACUUCUGUGAGCUACCCUGACAUUGUUUGUCUGAUUAGUUCAUUCACAUUUUUGGUUCUGGAUUCUUUUAGCUAAAAAAGUUAGUUUAAUUUUGAAAGGCUCCAAACUCUGAUUACUGAAAUGAAUUUCAGUGGCUUCAGUUGGUGCAACUUCAUUAUAGGGUACACCAAAUGAAUUAAUGAAUUAAUCCAAAUUCAGCUUUCUUCUGUGUAGUGGAGUUGUCGUGAGAUGUGCUCUAAUUGAAAGAAUACCAGCGAUUGCUUGAUAUUUCAUCUGGUGAUUUAUACAGAUUUUUAAAUGCAUAAAAGGAAACCAAUUAGCAUUAGUUGCAAGAUUUAUUUCUCAACUCAUUUCUGGAUUCAAAUAAUUAAACACAGCUACCUGAAAUAGCUGUUAAUGAGAUAAAACCAGAUGAAAAUGUAAGCUAUUAAUUGAUUCACCAACCCCUAGAAAACAGAUUGUUCAGUUAACAUAUAUUUAGGGAUUUGAAAACAAAGAUCUCUUUGGGAAUUUAGAGAGUAGUCAUAGUCAUAGGCAAAAACUUUAAUUUUCUCUUUCAGUAUAAACUUUGUGAAUGGUUCAAAGCUCAAAAUGUCUGGAAUUCUAAAGUGAGCUUCGAUGAGGGUGGUAUAUGCUAGAAUCCUGACCUGUGACAAUGCAGACAGAAUUUGUCAGGCCAUGUGAUUUUAUCACAAAGCCUGAGUCUUGCAAAGAAGAGCAGGUUUCCAUAUUUGCCUUUGGUCAGCUCUUUGCAUUGUUGAUUGACUCCCGGUAAUGCUGUUGUCAGUAUUUUGUCAAUAGUCAAAUAGAUCUCAUGACUGGCAUUUUGCCUUUUUAAAACCAUCCCUCGUUGCAGUUACAGAGAUUUGAAACUUUAAAGCCAGCUGGGAAUGGCUGGUGGCUUUUUAAUUAUUAUUUAUGAAUGCAUCAGAAAGAAAUAUUGACUUCUAAUUAAAGCCAGAAAAUUGCUCCUGGAAUAAAUUGCUGAAGGGUAGAAGAUAAAGGUGGAUACUCUGCACGUGGGAACACCAAGCAAGGCUGCACGUGUCCUAAUAGAAGUCACCAGAGGUGAGUGUGGCCCUCACUGUGGGUGGGACAGCUUCUCAGGUGCGUGACAGUAAGAAGUCGAGUGGCCCAGCAGAGAGAGCAGGCGAUCUGGUUAGUGUUUAUAUACUGCAUUUGUGUCAUUAUCAUCUGCCAUCUCUUCUUGGAGGCUUAGCCAAGAGCCUCAGAAAUUUAUUAUUUCAUGAAGGAUCAAGUUAUUCUUACCUGGUUGAAGGAGUCAGAAUAUUCGAACUAGUGAUUCCCGAUGGAACUCUCGAUAAGCAUGGUACAUGUUUCUUUAUUCUCUUCCUGUCUGGGUUGUUUGGAUUGUAAUAAAGAUGUGAAUUUAGGGGCUUUUUUUGCUUUAGGGAAUUGCUAGCAAUGUCUGCUCUGUGUGUUCGGUCAAUGACAUUUUGCUUUUGGUUGUAUGUAUUGCUCCACUACCCCAGUUCACAGCUCACAUUGAAUUCAGGACCUAGAACAGUGCCAUGGGCAGAGUCAAGCUUCAGAAUUAAUAGUGACCAGGAAGUAAAGAAAUAUCUUCUUCCUAUCUGUCACUAGAUGUGUGACUAGGGCCCCCGUUACAAAAGACAGAUGAACAGUAGAACAGUAUGCAGAUUUAUUUAACAUAAAUUUUAUUAGGCACCUCUAGAGUCACAAUGUAGAUGUGCUCUUUACUUGCUAAUUUACAUUUAGAAAGGAAGGGAUGAGUAUGAAUUUUUAUCCUUUUCUUUCUAUCAUGUCUUGCAGAGAUCUAAGGGAAGAACUUUGGGAAAAAUUCUUACAUUUCAAUCGCUUUCUGUCAGUUAUUGCAGGAUUUUUAUCUGCAGGCUCUGAAGUGAGGGGUUGACUCAAUUGUCCCUUCAUAGCUGCCAGCACCAAAGAAAGGAAAGGGUUCCCUCAACUCUUACAAGGCUCAAGGUUGGGACUGAAACACAGAAAUAACAAAGACGGAUUAUAUGCCAUGGAGCCUUCCUGAGGAACUGAAAGACCAAGAAAUGGGGGGAGUUGCAUAUGCAGUGUGAUUGAAAACUACUAUUUUUCCAACUUAUAAACUUGGAAAAAUGCACUACAAUAAAAGAUACCUUUGCAUUAACCUUUUUCAAAUAUCCCCCUUCAUCCUGGACACAUGGACCCCAUCGUUCUUGUCAUUUUCUGAAGCAACUCUGGAAGUUCUUUUCCAUUCAGGUCUCUAAGUUGUCUAGUCCUAGCCUUCUCAGUGCCCUAAGUUAAUUUAAAAUGUUUCUCAUUCAUGGUCAUUGUGACUUUAGGGAAGAGCAAAUCCUGACACAGUGUUAGACCCAAGGAGCGCGGUGGAUGAGGACUCACCAUCAGGCUUUUUCAAGCCUGUCCCUUGGAUGGCACUCGGCAGUGCCACUCACCAUAUGUCUGACUACGCUUCACGUGAAAGUGGGCUUCCAACGCUGCUUCAGGAGGUGACAAGAGUGACAGAUGAGUGUGUUCACAGCGAGGUGCGUAUUCUGAAGGGGACCGAUGGCCACAUGUCUCUUACUGUAAUACUUCUUUAAAAUGUACCUAUUCACCAUGUAUUUUGAUCACACCACUCAUGUGAGUGCUUGCCUUUAUAAGGAGCGGACCACAGGGGAGGAACAGAAUUGGAGAACAGAGGUAAUCAGCUGGGGAGAGGUUUCCAGGACCUGUUUGUUUAGAUCUUUCACUGCCUUUGCAGGAGGGCACUGCUCUUAGGAAGUCUUUUGAUUUGUUUCAGGGGAGGUUAAACAAUUCCUUCUAGAGCUUGUGGUCUGCCUCAGGGAAAGAAAAGGAUCAGAAAGGUUUCUGCUUCUACCAUUUCUUCAAAUUCCUUUAGUUUAAAAAGCUCAGUAUGCCAGAAUGCUCAGUUUGCCCCAAUUUGGGGCAACGUGCUCUGAGCCCCAUCAACUGUGUGAAGCAUGAACCUCUGUCUACCAUGCACCAGCUGCAUGAGGCUCAUCUUCCUUGGCUUUAGGAGUGUGGAUCAGCAUCGUAAGCCUCUAUGGCUGCCAUGGGGAGAGUGAGAUCAUGUGUAUGAAAUCCCCAUGUGGGUACCUAGCUUGUGACAGUCAGUGACUUAAAGUUGGGAGUUUUUUUUUUCCCUUCCUGCCUUCAUUACCUUCCUCCUGGGCUUGUUAUGAGCUACUAAAGGAAUAACUGGUGCAAGUGUUCUAAAGCCUACAGAAAUACAUAGUGGUUUUAUUAUCAUCUAGGGGGUCCAGGCAGACAAAUGUAGAACCACAAUGGCUCCGAGUAUGGCCCAUUUGAAAGACUUCCCAUUCUCCCACAGGCAAAUGAGCACAAGAAACACCAUGAAGUCUGCAUAAUGGUGCUUUUGUUGGGACAGUGGGACAAAGAAAGAACACACAGCUUAAACUCAAGCAAAGCCAGGAGUUUGGUUGGAGAGCUUUAGAUGCAAACCACCUUUACUGCUGAAGAUCUUCCUUUUUUAAAAAUGCAUAUCUAUGGGUCGCAAUGACCAUCCAGGAUGGGAACUGUGACCUACAUCCUAUUUACUAAUUUAUGAUGUUCUAGAACUAAACCAGCAAGCAAGCAGAGAAACUUGCAUUUUUAAGAAGUUCUUGGGAAGAAGCAAUCUAUUCAUUUCAGCCUGCUGUCCAGUGCAUAUUACUAGAACAUCUAUGGUAAAGAAAUAUUUGUGUGCAUGUGGUUCAGUGUGUUUAUAGAGAAAUAGGGUGGAAGCUUCAUUCUAUGGAGAAAGAAGGGAGAAUCCUAACUGUAGACAGUGCACAGACUGUGCUAUUGCUUAUGUCUAGAUGUUCCCCCAAAGCCUCAUGCAGUCACAGGUGGGGCUUUUUCAGUAGGUGGCUGAAUCUAGAAUGUGUGACUGAUUCAUGAUGCAAUGCUAGCAUUAAGGAUGCUCUGAGUAAGGGUGGGUGAUUACUAAAUCAGUCCACUCAUUGACUUGGCACUGCCCUAAUCUCAGUAGCCUGGAUACAAUCUAAGGACAAAAACAGACUUGUUUAGUCUCUUGCUUGUUUGCUUCACAACCUUCUGCGUACAAUGAACUGUUUCUCCUCUGCAAUGCCUGUCUGCAGUGCCACCCUGCCUCCAAUCCAGGUGAUUGUGUACCGAAAUCUCUACAAAUCCUGAGCUGCAUAAUGGUUUCCUCUCUUAACUUGUGGGUGUCAGGUAUUUUGUCUCAGCAACAAAAAAAUAAGUAAGGCAGGCAAAAAGUAUGCAUGCAACCCAGGAACAAUGAAAAAUACUUGAGCCUUAGAAAAGAAGCCCAGAUGAGGACUCAGAGGAAGAGCAGGGGAUAUUAGACACAGGCCCAGCAGGAAAGGAGAGGAAAAGGCAGCGUGUAUGCACACAGCGGGCGCUUCACAGCCUCCUGGGGGAGAGCAGGAGUCUGUAACUAAGAAUGUCCUCUGCAUGGCGAGGGGGUGGAAGCCUGAGACAGAGGGCAGAUGCACCCAGCGGGAAGCAGGAGGCAUCACAGAUCAGGGGAAGCAAAGAAGUUAGGGAUAAAAGACCUGCCAGGUCACCCCCUGCCUCUCUACUGCAGCCAGCGCCUCUCAGCAUUGUGGUCUGGUUUAUAUUUUUAAACAUCUCUGAAUUGCUAUCCUCAGUCUUUCUCCAAAUGCUUUGCUGCCGGAGGAUGAAGUUGUUCCAUUUUUUCUACAAACUCCAGUUUCUGAAUAUACCUACAGAAUACAUAAAGAUUAGGAGAAAAAAAAGGAAAAGAAAAAAACAAAAAGUGAAGCCCUGAAUCCAGACACGCACACCUGUUUGGCAGUCAUUAAGCAGGCACAGCGUGCUGGGAGGCGCGGGCUGCCUGAGCGAGAUGCUAACCCGCGGUCCCACGGGGCCUUGUCUACAAAGGUAAUGAUCCACAGAUUUCCAAAAUGCUGCUUAGAGACUUGGCUUGGCUGCGAUGGUUUGGGGAGGAGAGGAAAGGAAGAAAGAAUGAGAGACAGAAAACUCAGUGGAAGGAGAAGAAAGUGAUGCAGGAGAUGGGAGGAGAGGAAGAGAGAGGAGGAAGUCACUUUGAGGAGCAUAGGAUAGUGGGUCACGGUGGAGAGAAAGGGGUUAAGAGACUAUAAAAAAUUAUCCCAUAGGUCGUGACCUGUGGGAUAAUUCACUGGCUUUGAAACAUUUUAGCAUAUAAUACGUUUUUGGAAAUAUCUCAUGACUGGUACUAUGGUUCUUUAGACAAUGCUGGUCAUAAUCCCUAAAUAGACUUCUUUUUUUUAAAGAUAUAUUUUAUUAGUAUCUGUUAAUUUCACAAAAUCUUAGGUUUCACUAUGAUAUUCUCAUACAUCCAUAGGAAGUGUUCUGAUCAUCCCCACCCCUCAUUAAAUUCUUUAAAUCCUGCUUUGUCCCUUCUUAUUUAGUAAUUGUCUCCCUUCUAUUUUCAUGCCGUUUAAAAAUAUUCCAUAGUAGGGAAAAUGUGUGAUGCUUGUCUCUUUGAGUCUUACUUAUCCUUUGCCAGGAUGACCUUCAAUUGCACCCAUUUUCCUGAAAAUGACACAGUGGUGUUCUCCUUUAUAGCUGAAUAAUACUCCACUGUGUGUAUAUUCAUUUUCAUUAUCAUUUGCAUUACCUGCUCAUCCAGUAAUGGGCACAUAGGAUGGUUCCACCUCAUCACUAUUGUGAACUGUGCCAGCAGGCAGGAUGUGCAGAUAUCCCUGUGACAAGCUGACUUUCAUUCUUUGUUUGUGCACCAAGGAAUGAUGCAGCUGAGUCAUAUGGUAGUCUUAUUUUAAUUUUUGAAGAAUCUCCAUAAUGAUUUCCACAAUUACCGUGCUAAUUUUCACUUCCACCAGCAGAGUAAAAGAGUCCCUUUCCCCACAUCUUCAUCGCCAUUUAUUACUUGUUUUUGUAAUAUUCUUGUUUGUCAUUUUCUAUCAUUUUUCUCAAUUUCAAUUAUUUGUACAUGUUUGCAGUACAUAGUAUUACAUUUCUUCUUGCGCGGUGUUGGUAGCUGUGCAUAACACAACUUAUUUCUUUUAUCAUUCUUUCCUCUUCCCUUCUCCUGGUUCCUUCCCUUUUAUCAAAGAUCUGUCCCCCUGUUGCCUAUUGUCCAUCAUUCUUUUGCAUUUUUAUUCAUAUUUUGUGUUUCUCACUUAAGAGAAACCAUGUGACAUUUGAGUUUGUGUGUCUGAUCCAGGACUUAGAACAUUAGCCAGAGCAAUCAGGCAAGAGAAAGAAAUAAGACAUGUUUUUCUAUUCAUAAUGAUAGCGAUUCUGAUUGGGGUGAGAUAGAAUCUCCAUGUAGUUUUGAUUUGCAUUUCUCUAAUUGCUAAAGAUGUUGAAUAUUUUCUCAUACGCUGUACUUACUGGCACCCAAAUAGAUUUCUUGAUGCAAUGUUUGAAAAAUUAUAUGGAAAAUGAUAAAAAAAAAAAACAGCUGAAAAUUCACUGCUCCUUAAAGAAUCGCGUGUAUACUAGUGGCGUCCAACGAAGGUCAAAGGUCCUUUCAUAUCUCUUUCUAUCCUGCUCUCUGCUCCACUUGUUUGCUCCAAGAACACUGAUCUUGGCAGGGCCUUUGGGCUAGUUGUCUGGGGUGUGUCUCUUCAGGCUCAUUCCUUCUUAGUGUUUGGAUCUUACUUGUAAAUAAUAUGUUUUUCUGGGUGCAAGCUUCUGAGUUCAGGAGGGGACAGAUUUUCAUCUCCAUGAUAAAUAGGAAUGAAAAUGAGAAAGCCUGAAUAUCAGCUGUUUACGUAUUAUAAAGUUAAAAUAACCCACACUGAGAUAAAUCUCACUUCAUUUAGAGAGAUCGCCUCCUCAGCAUUUUGUAUUUUAUAACAUUCAUAACUUUCAUUUAACCUUAUUUUCUUCUUUUUGCCUCUGCUCUUCAGUAGAACCUAAGAUCUAGGAAGCCAUAGAAUGAAUAUGAGAUCCAUAUGCCAGGAACAGUGUCAUGGUAUAAAUAUGAAGUUCCUCAAAGAUGUAUGAAUUGAGGACUUUGUGCUCCUUAGCAGAAGUGUUCAGAGGGAAACCUUAGAAGUUGACCAGACAUUAGAGGUGCUAACCUCAUCUGUCCAUGUAUUCAUUUAUCGCUAACUGUGCUGCUAGGGUGUGGGGUCAGUUGGAGUCACAACCUGAAAGGCUGUAUCUUUUCCCUUGGCCCCUGCAUCACUCUCUGACUCGUUCUGCUCUUUGCUUCCUAGCUGCUGUGCACUGAGCAGCUUCCCUCUGCCUUGUCCUCCAGCCAUAAUUUUUCUUCACUGGAGCCAGUCAGCCACAGACUGAAACUUCUCAAACCCUGAGCCAAUAUCAACCUUUUGUCCUUUCGGUUGUGCAUGUCAGGUGACAAUGAUAAGAUGACCGAUACGAAUGGUAUGAAUGUUGUAAACAUUUUUCCCUUGAAACCAUUCUAGUUGGAUACGGGGUAUCUGAUAUAAUGGGUGAUGCUGACACACCUGAUGUAAGAAAGUUGUCCUGGUUACUUUCGCAUCACUGGGACACAAUACCUGAUGCCUGCAAAUUAGAGGAAGGAAGAUGUGUUUGUCUCACAGUUUGUAGUGGUUUCAGUCCAUAGUCUGGUGGCCCCAAGGCAGGAUAUGCAUGGCAGAGAGGUAGGUACAGUAGAGAAGUAGCUGCUCAUAUCAUGGUGACCAGGAACAGAAGGAGUCAAGGCAGGAGUCAGGAAGGGAAAAAAACUCUUCCAAGUCACACCCCUGAGACCUCCGUCUUCCCACCAGUGCCUGCCUCCUAACAAGUCAGAUACAUCUCUUUCAAAAUCCAAUCACCUUUCAGAAGCCUCACCUAUGAAUACAGAGGCUUUAGGGAACAUUUUGGAUCUAAGUCAUAAUAGAAGUUUUAAAUGCACUGUAAAAUGUGAGAAAAAUUGGGAAGCCAUUAAAAAGUAUGAGAAUGUGGACUUGAAUCACAUCGAAUAAGUAAUAAACCUCAGGGCACAGAAACAACACCAAAUCCUCUCUCAAGCAUGCCAGGGCUCUUGAAAUAAGCAGACAAUAUCACUUUCCUCUCGACCUUUGCCUCUAAGCUUGAUAGUUUUUAAAUUAGAAGCCAUUAAUACUAAUUUAAAAAGUGGAAGGUUCUGAGUGAUGGGAUUCUUAAAAUGAACUGGUUCUCUCUCUUCCCGUUCUCCACUCUCACUUCUCUAAAGAGUGUGCAGCUGUCUGUCUGUUUUACUCUUUCACUAUUUUACCCCAGAAUGACCUUUGAGAGACUGGAAAAAUCCAAGCACUGACCCUACUUGCUGAUGUGACUCAGAGGACGGCAGUCUUCCCUUUGGCUCCCUGGCAGACCAGCAAGGCUCCUCUUCAGAAGAGCUUUUUGUUGCACAGAUCACACACUAAGCCUUAAAACAAAUAAGAUGAAAAUGCAGUGUAUCCUCCAAAGUCACAAAGAGCUGAGUGCCUUGGGACCAAGGAGGCACAGUAAAGCUUUGUAGAGAACCACUGAUGGGAACCAAGACCAGAAGGAGAAGCAGAGAGACCUGCUAGAGACCCUCAGUUGCCCCAGGGGAGAGGACGGAGGUUUAGAUGACAGAGACAGCCGGAGGAUUUCCUUCAGACCUUCAGGAUUUCCUUCUCGGAGGCAGAUUCAACCAGGCUGGGGUAUGAGGGGAAGAGAGGGCACUGUCCUGGGUGACUCUUAGGGUCCUGGGUCUUCUGAGUUCAAGUGACCUUGGGAGAGUCUUGAGGGCCACCAGCUGAUGAUAGCACAGUAUCAUGACAAAACCAUUGCUUGUGAAUGUACUUCUUGAUUCAAAUACAUUUUCCACCUGAAUCAUUAUAUAUUAGUAAAAUAUGUUAAUCUCUGUAUUUCCCAAUACAUUUUCUCUCAAACUUCAGGGAUGUACCCAUUUUCAUCAACUGAGUCUAGUUAUGAAACAUGACGAGCCAGGCUUUGCUGAUUCUUCGUGAUCUUAAAAUGUUUCACUGGGUGGGCUUAAGCUGGUCUCCCUCUACCCUUGGUACUUCUAUUGCAGAGAUGGACAUUCCCGAGUAGAUAAAUUAGGGCUCUUUUGAGGUGAAUUCAGGUAAUAUGUUAGAGUUGCAUCCAUUCCAAAGUCAGUACUUAAUGGACUUAAGAAGUAUUCUUAAAUCUCAUCAGACUUAUAGCUGGAAUCUUCUGAUAAGGCAGGCAGAGGGGACAUCAGAACAAAUUCAUUAGAUUAAAAAAUAAUCUAAUAAAUUCAGGAUGUGGACUAUCCUACAGGACAGAAUUUGGUCUCUUAAACAGUAAAUAUCACGGGUAAAAGAAAGAAUAAAGAGACAUCAACAAACACAUUAGACAAAAUUUGGUUAGAUCUUGGUUUGGUGGAAAAUAGUUCUAAAAGUUUUGGUGGGGACAGUGGAGAAUUUGAAUGUGACUCACAGGAAUCACUUUUCUAAGGUUUAAUGAUGGUGUUAUCAUAUAAGUCUUUUAGGAGCUUCAUUUUGAAGUGUUGGGGCUAAGUGAUACAAUGUCUAUAAUUUUGUAACAUUUCAAUAAGAAACAUGGAUAUAUAGAUGGAUAAAGCAAAUAAGGAAAGUUGUGAACACUUCUAUCCAUACUUGAUAAAUGAUUUUUCAUUGUCCUAUUCUCUCAACUUUUUUACGUUACUUGAAAAACUAAGGUUGAAAAGUGACACAAAAGAUAAAAAUUUGACCCCCAGCAAAGCAACCCCCAGCAUUUUCAGGUGAAGAAGUUGGUUGGUAUUUUAGACUCUGAUCUUUGUAAAAAACAAAACAUCAACAACAAAACCCUAUAACUUUCAACAGUAGACUCGUAUUUAACCUAAGAAGGUGCUCACUUCUAGUAGAUCUUCCCAUCCAACAUUCCACUUUCAUGGAAAUUGAUGAUCACGGGCUGAACUAAAGGCCAGAGCACUUGCACUGUACUGAUUGCUGACUUCCCUUCUUGUAAUUUGAUUUGCCUGAGUAGUAUGGCUGACUCUGUGUGGACUCAAUACAUCCGUGAUGCAGCUAAAGGAUGAUUUGUUAAUUGAGAACUGCGCAGCAGACAUGUAACAAAUGUUAUGCUAACAGCACAGAGCUCAUCAUGUUAGGCCAGUGGUCCCUGUGUCUGUGGACAGAUUCCUAUUGUUCCUGUCUAUCUCUACUGUCAGUAUCUACUUCCCACUCUUGGUCUUUCUUUUCUUAGAAGCUGGAUGCUUUAAUUCUGGAGGAAAGGAGAAUCUGAAUCUUAUGACCAGUUUCCGGAUCAGGUCAUUAUAGGCCAAUACUUGUAAAUUUCCCAAGGCAGGAGCAGAUGCAGGUGGGGGCUGAUGUUUAUUCAGUUGUGACUCUCCUUAUGAAAAGGAAUAUAAAAUUACACUUAUAAAAUUAGAUAUAGACAUGAAUGUUUAUUUAGAAUGAGAAAAGAAGUCAUAACAAAUCAGAGGGUUUUUUUUCUUUUAAUCUACCAAGGUCUAUAACCACCAUAAAAUCCAGAAAAACAAACAGCUUAAAUUUUGAAAAUAAUUAACUUCUUGACACAUGGUUAUAAUACUUUCCCCUACAUUUAAUUUGACUGCAUCCCAUAAUUCUUUAUCUGACAAAACCUUUGGAAAAUUACUGACACUGGAGACAAUAGGAAGAUAAUUCCAUCUUCCCUUCAGCUUGGCUAAUCAUUUUCCUUAUUGAAAGAUUUGAAGUUUCUCUUGUCUUAAAUUUGUUAUUGGAAAUGUCAUGUAUAUAACUAGAAUUAUUGUUGUAUUGAGGGAAGCAGCUAUUAAAUAUUUUUCAGGUGGAAACUAUUAGAAUUCAAGUUGUUUUCAGCUUACAGGUGCAAUGACUAAUCACAAAUUCUCUUUGAAUUGACAAUACUCAUUAACCAGUUUUUCAUCAAUAUCACUAUGAGAUUUUUUUUGUCAGCCAUGAAAUUUCACAUAGCUAGUCCAAGAGAGUCAGUGUAAUGGACAAUUGGGGUGCUUUUUAAAUAAACUGUUCCUGCUCUAGGACACCUAGCAAUCACCGAAGGAUGACAUAAAUAACAGAAAGCCACAUAAACUUAUUAUAGCAAACCAGCAGUGAAUGUACCCUCAACUUACAGUCUAUUUUGCUGGAGCCCGGAAGUAUUGCUGACUACCCAGAUACCAUCAGGAAUGGAGAAAAUUGUGAUGUGAGAAAGUUAAAGGCAAAAAGAGAGAGCAGUAGAUAAACUAUGUUAUUUUCAGGUUUUAUGGAAACAUAUGAACAUAUCAACACAUUCCAGGGUGACUCUAGUAUCUGUGCAAAUGAAGGCUCUGGAUUUUAACUUAGCAUCUUCCUAUUAAACCCUGCUGUGCUUGAGGUAAGCUUGUGCAUUUCAUGUAAAACUCUAGCAUUUGGAACAAUAGAAUGAUAUAUGGACUUUAACUGGUUGUUAAAAUUAAGUUUUAGUUGAUUUCUUUGGAAAUACAUUAUAGUAAUAUACAUGUUAUUUAAGAGUCUCAAAUAAAAUAAGCUAAAUAAAAUAUUCCCCAAAUAUCAUUAUUCAAACUUCUCUCUAUAUAAUUCAUAUAUCUCUAAAACAUCUUCUGACACUGUGGGUUUCAAGGCUAUUGAACAAUGGAUUCUCCUGAUGUACUUUUAGAAAAAUAACAGUGGGUAUGACAUGUGCAAUAGUAUUUUUUAAAGCUCUCCAGGUGGUUUUAAUGUUCAGCUGGAAAUUGGUAUCUACACUUCUAAUGGUUGGAACACUUUUAUUUUUUUAUUUUUUGGCUUAAAUGUCAAAAUAUUUUUCUAGUUCCUCCUGGACUCUUUCAAAUGAAAUACAAGGAUGUAAGAUUCAGGAAAUAUAGUAUACAUGCAGAGCACAAUAGGUAUAAUAUAAAAUAUAUCUUUGUUAAAAAAGGAACUAUCCUAGUAAAAAUUCCUGUUCAUGUAGAACACAGUACCAGGGUGUGCUGACAGGGCGAGAUAGGAAUCAGAGGAGGUGAGCAGCUCCUAAUUAAAAAUAAAAUUAAUUUUCUACCAAGCAUUCUCUGCUGUACUUGAAGGCAAAUGCAAUUUUGUUGGUAUAAUAAAGGGUGCAGCAAAGAGGUCAGCUACAAAGACUGUUUUAAGCAGCAGUGUGUCCAGUGUAAUAAAUCUAUUCCAGCUCAUCAGACACCCACAUUUUCUCACCGUGGCUCAGGAAACCUAUUGAGUUGGGCAGAACAGCCAGCUGGCUGCCACACUCUCGCCCGUGCAAGAGGCCAUGUAUUGCAAACAAUUAAUAUCUACUUGUUCAGUCUGUCCACACCGACUGCUCUGCUCUUACAUCUCCUCACAUGGCUAAUUUUGAGAGCAUAAUGAUUUUAUGAUGAUGAGAGAAAAUGAGAACUUUUUCCAAAAGAAAAAUCAGAAAGAAAAUCAGAAAAUAAGAACUUUUUCUAAGUGAGAAAUUCAGUGCUUCAAAAGUUAUUCAUUGCCUAAACAGAUUUUAUGCAAUCUUUUCAGAGAUGUUUUACUUCUUUAAGCAAAUUUUUAAAAUUCUAUAUGCCUCUCUUUAUGGUUGCAUCAUUCAAACCUUUGUAUUGAUCAAUAAAAGUAUUUUAUAUGUACAUUUAAAACUGUAUAGUAGACUGAGUGCUCCUAAUCUGAAAAUCCAAAAUCUAGAAAGAUGCAAAAUCUGAAAAGUUUUGAACAUCAAUAUGACAGUGGAGAAUCAUACAUCAGAUGUUAUGUUGUCAGAUCACAGUCAAUGGGGGCAUCAUAAAAAUGUUUAAGGUGUAUGGGAAACAUAGAUGAAUUUCAUGUUUAGACCUGGGUUCCAUUUUCAAAGUAAUACAUAAUGUAUAAGCAAAUAUUUCAGUAUAUGCAAAUAUUUCAAUAUCUGAAAUAUCUUUUUUUAAAUAUAUAUUAGUGAUCUGUGAGACAACUUUAUUUAUUUAUUUUUAUCAGUACUGGGGAUUGAACUCAUGACUGCAUGCUUACAAGGCAGACGCUUAUGCCUCUGAGCUAAAUCCCCAGCCUCAAUAUCUGAAAUAUGUGACUCUACAUAAUUUAGUCAAGGACUGCUAAACUUGUACAGAUUCUUGAUCCUGAAGAAUGAUCCUGCACCAAUAUAAAGAAUGUGCCACUGGCCAUUGUGGACUGAUUUCCUACACUCACUGGAGCUUAGAUCUGGAAGGGCUUAGAAGUGGUUUCCAGCUCAAGAAGGAUUUAUAACAUGGUAGAAGGUAAAAACAACAUAAAGAAUGUCAAGCCGAAAUAAAUUCUGCAGUAAAAAGCAAGCAUUUGAUGCCAGAGCCAAAACAUUUCUUUCUAUUUUGCUCUCUUAGAACUCAUUGGGCUGGAGUGAGGAGUCUUAAAACUGUAAUGACAGCAUCCACCAUCCAUUAUAUAUGCUUUGGAGCAGGUAAUAAGGCUAAAAAAUAUGUCCUUAGCCUAUCAAGAGAAAAGGACUUUUCAAUUCUGGGCAAAAAAGAAAAGCCAAAGGUACAAUGUAAUACACAACAGUAAAUAUUCUAAGAAUCCAACUAAAAGAAAUGGGCUUGAUUUAAAGCUGGAGGAAUUUCUGUUCAUUGUAAAAGCAGGAUUUUUGGGUAAUUGCCAAACUAGUGUCAUCUUACUGGUUACUUAAAGUGGGAGGUGAUCUGGCCAAGGUGGGCUCUCACGCUCCAUCCUGACUCAGCAAAAUCUUCCUAAAACACAUUAGGCAUGUACUUACAAUCUGACAGUGGCAUUUCUAGCUUUCAGAAUCAAGCAUAUGGAAUGCUAGAAGGUUUUUUUUUUUUUUAAAUAGUAGCCUUCUACCUUCAUCUCCAAUUUUGUUUUCCUCCAUUCCUUCCUCCACACACUAAACUAUAUGUAGUAUAUACACACUCACACACAUGCAUACUCAGAGGAGAGAGAGAGAGAGAGAGAGAGAGAGAGAGAGAGAGAGAGAGAAUGAGAAUAAGUCUCCAUUUUCCUCUACCUUUUUGCAUUCUGCUUGAUUUACCAAAUCUAUUUGAUGCCUUCUUUCUCCUUCUCCUCCAGCUCCAGGAAAUCUUGCUCAGCCAUUUCUUUACGAGUUUCUUCUAAAUUUGAACAUACAAAAUUAAUCACACUUAUAUCAGCAAUCCUGAGUUUCUAAAGUUUCAUAAAUUCUUCUGUGUGUUUACGACUUUCUUUUACUAUUUAUUUCACUACUCGAAUGCUAGCUUCUUGGAGGCAGGAACCAUUUUGAUUUUUUGUACAUUCAGUGUAUUAUGAAUGAAUGGUGAACCAGCAAGAAGAGACACACAAUUGUUUGUUCCACUAAAUGGAAAGAGUUGAAUUAUUCAUAAGUCUCAUUACAUACAAACAUAGCCAUAUCACUUGUUAUUUAAAUCUCAGUUGGGUAAAUCUCUGAUUUUUUUAACCCAGCUAUUCUCUAGAAAGUUUUCUGAGAAAGUUUUUGGUGGAUUAAAGAGGGCCAUUCUUUCUUCAUUGUCAUUCUUCUCAUGGAGAGAAGAAGUCUGGUUCUACUCUUGAUCCUAGGCUGGUCUUAGUGACCUUUUCACCAGACAAACAUCAAGUGACAUUCUAGACUUCAAAGGCUAGAUCAACCUACUCUUCCCUGAUUUUCUUGGAAUACUCUAAGAUUCUAAACUGCUUUGUAUCAAGUACGACUAUCUUGAGAACCUUGUGCUAGAAAACCUUUUCUGACUGAUAGGCCCAGGUAAGUCUGACCACACCAACCACCCUGGCGAAGGGCAACAAGUCAACUAAUCCUUCUUUGAUCCUUGGCUGGAUACUAUCUAAGGGUGCCUGUUAACACCACAUGAAACAGAAGAAUCAUCCAGCUGAGCCCUGCCUGAAUUUUCAGGCUGUAAAAUUCAGCAAUAAUCAUAAAAUUGAUCCAAACUUCUGCAUUUUGGAAUAGCAGGAGACAAUUGGAACCCAGACUGAAAGAGUUUUGGCCCAGACAGGACACUGUAGUUGGUAAAGCCUUGGAGGCUGAACCAAGGAGCUCCAUUUUCCCCACUCCUAGGAAUUUGCAUCUGGCACAAAAUGAAUACCAAUGAAAUACCUGCGCAUCCAUAAUGCCCCUCAAGCUCCACCCUAAACCUAAGCUACAUCUAGGCCCCCACUCCACAUGUCCCACGGAGAGAUCGAAGACCCUGGGGAGAUGCCAGACCCCAGGGAGUCAGGGGGGUCUCUCCCCGCAUUCUUAAAAUAAAGGUCAUUUAUAUUUCAUACUUCUUAUCUUUUCAGCCACCGCCACAAUUCUAUCACAAACUAUUUUCAUUCAGUUCCAUUUGAUUGUUUAGCAUCCUGCUCAGCUCAAACAGAGGGACUCCUGCUCUGAGUACUUAAAAUAUUCAAUUAAUAUACUUCUACUGUCCUAUUUUCUCUACAUGAAUUCUUAUAAUUUUCAGACUUCUCAAGUUUUAAUAUUCUCUCUUUUUCUUCUCUCCCGCCAUACUCCCCAUACUGCCACUGUUACCAUUCUCUGAAUCUUCUUCCUUGUAUUUUCAAGAUAGCCGUGUAGAAUGAUUCAGCAGAUGAAGCUUGAAUAAGUAUUCAGACCAAUGAUAAAAAAGUUGGAGCCUCUUUAUCUGGGGAGAACUUUAGAACAAGAAAAGCAAUAGAUAAUUAUUGGAUGAGUGUUUUGAACACUCCUUAUAUCAGAUUCAGAGAGCUUGCAUUAGACAUUCUCUCAUGAGUCCUUUCUACUAGAAAAUUGUGUGACAGACUCAGAUGCAUAGGAUGAGUUACAGCCCUGAAUCAUGUAAGCUACUGAAUUCUUAGCAGUACCAUUCGAUUACAAGUAAAUAACUGCUUGAAUUGGGUUUUUGCUAUACAUUCAAAGAAUUUUAUCCUUUGGGAAGAUGUUUCAUUUUAAAAAGAACUGUAAACAUGAGUUUCUUCCAAGUAUAAUUAGUGUUUAUUAUUAUAUUGAUUUCUUUUCUGGUAUUUUGUAGAUUACUGUAAUUUUUUGUGCUCUGUGAACAUUUCUAAACUUUAUCUGCAAUUUCCACUAGUAGUACGUUUAAUUGUUACUCAAAUGUAUUUUUAAAAUCUAUGUUGUUUAUAAAAUAGAAGGGAAUCUAUUUUACACUUUUGGGUUGUUAUCUAAUCCAUGCACUUCAGAAAUCAACCAUCAUUUCCCCAAAUGACAGUAAGAUACUUAUCUCGGAAUGUGGGCAAGAUACAAAAUUGUGCUCCUUUCUUCUCUGGGAGUGUAACCCUCAAACCAAAUGAAGACAAACAGCAUAAUAACUUAUAUAUUAAUGUGUAAUAAUUAAUAGUUUUGAUAAUUGAAUAGCUUGUUAUGUUGACCUUUAAAAUGUGCUCAGUUAACCAGUGAAAAAAUUUUUAAAUUCAAAAUAAUCCUGGUUUCCAGCUAUUCUAUAUCUCCCACCAAACACAGCAAGAGUAGAAAGAUCUCUGCAUGUGAUGUGUUGAACAGGCAAGAGAUGGCUAUGGGUUAAUCCCCAUCCUCAAGCAGCAGAAUUAGAAGUAGGGCACAGGAGAAGAGCGGGAGGAGGCAUACUGUGGAAGGUCCCACUUUCCUGUUGCCCGCCGGUUCUUGCCAAUGUGGUAAAAUCUGGUUCCUGUAACUGAUAGACCCCACAGCUAUAAGGUUCUUAUCUUCAAGUCUAAUUAAAGGUAGAGAUGGAAUCAGGGUGGAACAGACCCACAGAGAGCUUCCCUUCUCUCAUCAACAUGAUCAGGAAGGAAAGGCAAUGUCAUACGGAGCCCAGCCUAAAGCAGUUACAUCAGGAGAGCACUGAUGUAAUCACGCAUGCAGAACUCAGAACAGUAAAGUCUCAGAGAGUGGAGGCUCAGGAAAAAGAAAGAGAAAUUAAAACCAUGCUUUGUGAUGCAAGUUUGCCUCCAGGACCGGAAGCCAAGUCUGAGAUGCUGUGAAGCACAUCUGUUUUAGGAGGUAGAAGAGUCCAGAUGGAGAGUAGCACCAUUCUUGCUGGCCUAGCUGAAUAACUACAUGGUAGAAGGAAAGUUAUUGAUUCUCUGUGCCUCAGUUUCCCCCUCUGCAGAAGAUAAUAUAGCUGAAGGUAAUUUGUGAUGUAUUAAAUAGAUUCAUUGUUAUAGUUCUGAAAAUGCAAGGUACUCUAUAAAUGCUCAUUUUUCUUACAUAGCCAUUGUAGGAAAUUUAUUGUUUCCUUGAUCUUUAUUUUCUUAUUUCUUUUCUACAUAUUUAUAGAUAUGCAGUCACCUAGUAACUGUAUCAGGUAACAUAGCACUAAAACUAGAAGUUAAAAUUACCCAUUCCAUUUGUGGGUGACUGAGAGUAACUGAAAUUAUCACGAGAAGCUUCUUAUCUCCACACAGUGUCGCAGGCUCUCUCUUAAAUUUUGUCCUAGCUUAUUAUAUUUUUCAGCUUGUGUACUAGUGAAUCCAUUUAUAAAUCAUUUAAAUAAAUGUACAAGUUGGAUCACUGGGCUCUAACAGGCAGGAGCAGUUGGUCUGUUUACUAAAUUGUUAUUGCUGCAUAAAAAUAAUUAUCUAGCAUUUAUCAAUUGUGUCCUAAAAUAUUCUAUGUAAAUUGUUUAACUAUGAGGAGAAGAAAUGAACAUGAUGAAAGAAAGUUGAACACGAUUUAACAUUAAAGAAACUGAGAUUGCCUUCUCCCUAAUUCAGUGGACACCUUUGCUCCUGUAUUGACUUUACCAUGUGUGCCUGCGUCUACAGUAUGCAGGGAAGGAAACCAAUGUAGAACACUCCUGUGUGCAUUCCUGCAAGCCUAGGUCUGCUUGUGAAGAAGGAAGAGCCUGAAAGCAAGGGAUAUAUCAUAGUACCUGAAAUAAUAGCAGUUUUGCAAGUCAAAUGCGUCCCUGAAAUACAGAAAAGUACUGUUUGAAUGAACAUUAGUUUAUGUGAUUUUACAGAAAUUACUAAUUUCAAAGUCUUCAUCUUUAAAAUGAGAAUAAUAAUGCUUACCUCACCAACCUCAUUCAUAUGUGCCUAAGGCUGUAUUUCACAUGAGGCCCUUUGAUAACCUCUGUGGGUAUCAAGUAAACUGAUUCUAUUUCACGUCCUUGAGGUGUUUAACAGCUCUGUUGUGAAGAAGAUGAUUCCAGUAAAGAUGAUACUGUGAGCUACCAAAGUAGGUAAUGAUUCGUUUUUUAGGAUAGAGGAGGUGAUUGAGAAUAAGAACACAAAAACAUUUGGCUUAAAGAGACACCUGAGGUUAUUAUUUAAAGCAAGAAUAAGAGAAGCUAGAAAUAAAUUGGAUUUAAGAAAAGUAUCUGGAAGAAAAUGUCCUUCAUACAUUAACAAAAAUCAUAAUUAAGCCAAAACAACUCUAUGACAAUGAUAGGAAAUGGAACAGAGGAAGAGAGAGGGAAGGGAAGGGUUGGAUAGGAAAUGAAUGACACUGGUUCUGAGUGACUGAGCCCUAAGCAAGAUGAAUGCUCCUUUUUUUUUUUUUUUUUUUUUUUUUUUUUUCUCCAUGUCAAAGUUGAAAGGUGGGCUCGUGACUAGAAUGGCACUUUAUGGUGUCAGGGACUUGUGUUUUUUCUCUGGUUCUGCCAUAUGCAACCUCAUUCCCUAAGCCACUGUAAGUCUAGGAUGACUUUGAGUCCAGCAAUGAAAACCACAUUUUCACAAACAGAAAGGAACAAAGGAAGGAGGUCACUCUUCAGUCCAUAUUUCCACUUAUCCUUACCUUCUUUGAUCACAUCAGGAGGGAAAAGGUAGAAAUACAGUUCUUUAUUCUGGGGAGCAGUUGUGCAGAUAAAUGUGGUCAUGACCAAAGCAAUGGAAAAAUGAUUACUGGGGAGCACUGCAGUUUCCUGACAGUGUAUGUUUUUAUGUGUGCACGUGUGUAUGUAUGAUUGUAUCCAUGCGAGUAUGUGUACCUGUGAACAUGUCAAACAGCCAGAAGAAAGGUGAAGACUGAAUGGAAAGGUGUGUGAGAAGUUACUUAGUCAGUGGGAUAUAGAGUUUUAGAAAAUGAGGGAAUUAUUCCAGGACAAAUAUCGAUCUUACCAGUCUAUAGUUAAUGUUUCACAAAAUGUGAGUCCUAAGUUAGAACACAUUGACAGAUAUGAAUGGCUAGUAGAAUUAAGUUGAUUCCUCAAUUAUGUUCUCAUAAUACUUUAUAUCAAUGUCACUAAAUGGUGCUUUGUUCUCUAGACCAUAAAGUCUCUAGAUAAUAAAUAAGGUUUUGGGGAGGUGGAAAAAUAUACUCUCCUGUUUCAUGUUCCAUUCCUUCCACAGAGAAGUCCACCAUUAUAAUUCUGCAACCUGGAACCAGAGAUAUAGCUCAGUGGCAUGGUGCCUGCCUAGCAAGUGUGAGGGCAGGAGUUUGAUUCUCAGUACCAAAACAAUUUAGCAGGGUGUGGUGGCACAUAGCUGUAAUACCAGCACUUGGGAGGCUGAGGCAGGAGGAUUGCUACAAGUUCAAGACCAGCUUAGGCUACAAUGUGAGCUAAAGACCAGCCUGAACUGCAAAGUGAGACCCUGAGUCAAAAAAAAAAAAAAAAAAAAAAAAAAGUUCUGUGACCUCUUCACCCCUGGGAUCAAGUUAGAGGGAAAUGUUAAGUAAAAUAAAUCUGGCACACAAGCUUAAAUGUCACAGAACUUCUCUUACAUGAAAAACUCAAAGUAUGAAUAUUUUUUUUAAAAUGAAAUAAAAAACAAUAGCAAAAAGGCAGAUAGAUCUUUUGCAAAUGAAAAUGGGAUCUGGAGACAGAGAAGUGGAUGGAAGGGGGGAAAUUAAGGUAUGUCGAGCACACAUACCUACUUGAUAAGAUGAACAUAAACAUUAUGCAUUGCAAACAUUUUCUAAUAAAAAAUUAGAAAGAGAAAACCCUGUGAAGGAGGGAAGUGCCCAUGCCACCUUUCUCAUACUUGGUCCACCUGAGAGCUGGUCACAGCCCUUAACUCAAGUGUGAAACAGUGACUUGCAAGUGUGGAUUUGCACAGGUGUGCCUGGCUCUGCCUUUACUCCUUUAAAGCCUUAAAACCUGUGUUUGUGCUCUGGAUUGCCCUUGCCCACGUGAUAAAUUGUGCUCUGGUGUUUUAGAACCUUGCAGCUGGGUGAUAACUGCACAGAAGUCUGGUGGCCAGCCUUGCAAAGCCCUCCUGUCUGCACAUGUGAUGCACAGCCUCCCAGAGCAGCUUUAGCAGAGCAGCUUAAGGCGUGGAGUUCAUCCAUCACUCUGUCUCAUUCCCCAAUUGAGCCAAUAUUUUAAUGGGAACGAGGUAGUUUUAUGUAUUGGGAAUCCUCAAAUCCCAAGUCUGUCUGUCAGUCUAUCUUUCUCUCCCAUCCCACCCUAUUCUACUCUACCCAGAUGAGCCUAUCCUAUAAGCUUAUCUAUCAACCUCCCCAUCUAAUCCAUUAUCCAUGUAAUAGUGAAUGGAAGUAUGGAUGAAUGUCGACCUUGUGGCUGAUCUUAAGUACUUUAGAAUUUUAACUUUAGUGAGAAGGGUAUUAUCAUUUAGGUAAGCGUGGGAACACUUGAAAUGAAUAGAUACAUCAAAAGAAAGAAAGAAAGAAAGAAAGAAAGAAAGAAAGAAAGAAAGAAAGAGAGAGAGAGAAAGAAAGAGAAAGAAAGAAAGAAAGAAAGAAAGAAAGAAAGAAAGAAAGAAAAAGAAAGAAAGAAAGAAACCUGAAUCAGAGUUGUGUAGAACCAGAUUUAUUUUAUUUUUUGCAAUAUUGAGGAUUGAACUCAGGGCCUCAUGUGUGAUGUGCAAGUUCCCUACCCCUGAGCUUCAUCCCCAGCCCAGUAUUUUUCACUGUAAGGAUGAUGCUUUGUAUGCACGUAUGUAUGUAUCCACUUUCCCUGUCACACCUAAGUUUGAAAAGGUGGCUCUAAGCGCAGUUGCUGUAGAUUCACGUCUUAUGUAGUUACCUGGAUUCCAUCAGGAAAAACUACACCCUUAGUCUCAGCCUCCAGAGCCUUUGAAAGCAUCUCAUGUCCGCAGAGUGAUGUGAAAUGAAUAUGGAUAGUAAACAUGGUCCCUGUUGCUUUCUGACAGAGUCACCUUGAACGUGGUCUGACUUGAAGUGGGAGAUGAGGCACUGCUUGCAACUCAUGUAUGUCCUGGAGUGGAAGAAUGGGAGGAAGUAGCUGGAAGCUGUGAAAGGAUGCUAUGAUAAGAAGGGGAAUUUUCUAAACUUUAUAGUGACAGGAGCAUUUGCGAAGUUGUCCGAAAGGUUGCUGAGAUUACUUGGAGUCAUAUUUCUGAAACAUGUCAUAUUAACACCUUCCUGAGGCUUUCUUGAUUUUGGAUGCUUGGUAGCUGUGUUUAAUUUUUUUUUUCUACAUAGUUUCCUGAUGAGCCUAAGGACUCAGACAGUGAUGGAAAAGUCAAAAAUAGGAAUCUUCCCCAAAACAAAACAGAACAGAACAGAACAAAACAAAGCAAAGCAAAACAAAACAAAACAAACUAAGUCUUUCAUACUUGCUGAACAUUAGAAUUAUUUCUCUUUUUGCACAGAAGAGAUACCAUAAUCUGUAUUUUGAUUCAUUUGGGUGGUUGAAUUCGGAUGUAUUGGGAUUUGUUUAUUUUCUAUUCAGUGAUAAAUGUGGCGCUGUAAACCAGCCUGGAGCUUUCUUGUAUAAACAGAAGACUAGAGAAAUUAGCAUUAAGAUGAACUGUAUUUAUUAAACGCUAUUAGCUUUGAAGGUAGAUUUAGAUUCUUUUCUUUGGAUUGUAAAAUCUACUUUUGCCUGGGGUUUUUUUUUUCUUCAGUUGUCUCUUGAAUUCAAAGUUGUAAACAGAAGUGCUCCAUAAAUAUACGUGCACCAUGACAGACUUGGAUAUAAAAACAAAAUGGCACUCAAAAUUGCUCAAGUAAGUUGGUUAUAGUUAGAUAUUUUUAAAGGCCAUGGUGGCAUAAUUUGGUAAAAUCCCCAGCUUCCCUUAAAUGAUGACAAAAUAUAGCUCCAUAAUACUUCUGAGAGCCUAGUAUGAAAAUGCAUUAGGAGAAAAGGUCCAAGGGACACAGCAGAACGCCUUGUCAUGAUAGAUAGAGGGUGGCAUAAUUCUAAAAAUUCUCCAUGAAAAAUUAUAUCCACUGAUAAGUGUCUCUCCCCUUCUCAGAAAGGGCACAGGUAGACGGUAUUAACUUGCUGUGUGAAGUAAUAAAUUACCCUGUCCCAUCUGGCACAUUACCGCGAGCUUGGUGGGCUUUACAAUGUCCCUUCCCUGAGAGUUCAACUUGAAAUCUUUAUGAAUGAUGGCUGAGCCCUGAGACUCAACUCAACCUUCCUUGCGUAGUUGGUAACCCAUAAAACUAACAUCCCUUUAAAAAAUGAGCAAUUUGAAACAGAUUUGUGAGAAAGGGAACCUUUACUCAUCACAAAAUCACAUUAAUGUGCGUAGGAAGGGAGUUGGAAGGGGAACUAUCUUGAAAUAUUGCUAUCUCAAUCUUUCUUGAAAGGUAAAACUAAGAAUAAUUAUACAUCUAUUCUUCAGGGAUUCUUUAUUUUCAUAGACAUUUUGUUUAAAUGGAGGAAACCUGGGUGGAUUUUUUUUAAAGUUGUGCCUAGAGAUGGCUUGAUGAUUCUCCUGAAAGACAUGAGGUGGGUUUAUUGGCAGUUUGUGGCUGGAUUUACGUAGCAAGCAUAAAAUAGUCCAAGCAGCAAAUGAUUUGUGAGUGUGUACAUUGGGUGAGGACAGGGAGGGAGCUAUCUCACGCUCUAGCAAUCUGAAAACCUACAGGUCUAUAUAAAACCACUUCAGUGGGUGGGAAGAGGGGACCACCAGAUACGUCUUUGUUUUUAGUAUUUUCAGAUUCUGCCCUUCUUUUAUUGAUUGACUUUUAUCUCAAAUCAAAAUGAUUCUGAUAAGGAAUUUUCCUCUGUGCUUUGCAAACCAACUGAAAGUGAGAGCAGGAUGAAUAAAUGCCUUGCUGGUAACUGUUUAUCCUCUCUCUUAGCUCUUCUGAUUACCUUUCACAAUAAUGUUUCUUUGUUCUUCAAAGUCCAUUUUAUGCAGAUCUAUGCUAAUGAUCAUCUGCUAUGCAAAUAUUUCACCUUGGUAAUUGUAAUAAAGGAAGCACUGACCAGUGGACCUGAAACUAAAGCUUAGAUUUCCUCUCAACUGUGAUAUAUCAUGUGUGUUACUUAAGUUUCUGAGAUAUAGAUUUGCCUUCUAUAGAAUGGUGAUUCUAAUAACUGGCUCCCAGAACUGUGGGGGAAAGUUCAGUAGUUGUAAUGUUUUGUAAUUUUUGAAACACUUUGCAGGUAUUAGGGCUAGCACAGGGUCUUGCCCUCUGUCUACCAGAAUAUUUUCUUCUCUUCUUCUCUAGUAGUGGGAUUAUAUCUGGCUCCGAUCUGGGACUGUAGUUGCAACUACUAAUCAUCAUGGAGAUAUAGAAGCUCUUGGAAGAGGAAAAGAUGAGAAUCAUUUUUGCUUUUCAGGUACCUUGCGGGAUAUCUCGUCCCUGGCUUGAAGGUAGUAGCUUCAGAGAAGUUCCCUAAACUGAACCAGGGGAACAAGCUGCUAACCGAUCCAGAACACCUCUCUUGGACAUUUAUGUGAAAGAAACACAUUUGUAUUUCUUUGAGCGUAUGUGCUCACAGGUCUGUUUGUACCGAUAGGUCAGACUACCACAACCAAUACCAACAUUUUUAUUGAGUCCAUGGGAUACAGAUUCAUAGACAUAGAACUGGAAGGAACCCUAGAGGUCAUCUUGCAAAUAAACGUAAUACUUGGAGAGGAAACCAUUUUUUCUUGGCCACAAAACAAAUUAAUUGCAGAACUCAAAUAAAGUGUAAUUUCCCGGCACAAUUGUACAAUGCAGAGUAAGCAGUCCACACAUGAAUCUGAUCCUUAAGGGACAGACCUGCGGAAUACAGGCAUAGAUUCAGAGAGUGCUCGGGUAUGCAUUUCAUAACCUCUUGUAAAAAUGUCAAAUUAGAGAAGUAGACGCUUUUCCCCAAGGUUUUGCACCAGGGUUUUGCAAAUCACGAGCUCUGAGGCUUCUUUUAAAGCUGUCCUGAGCAUGAAGGUCCUUGUGCCUGAUGAAAUAUCAUGAGUGCUUUUGGUUCUGGGAGAGCAGGCGGCUUCGGGGAAAAGCAGCCCACCUGGCAGCAGCGCUGGGAAUGUUUUAGCCACAGCUGCCAGGAGCUUCUGUUCUCCAAAAGAUUGAUCUAAAAUGGCUUCUUCGAACAUAACCAACAAGAGAGAGACAAGAUUAUGUUCUUAGCAUUUGAACCAGAACACACUUGCUCUGCUUUAAAAGGUCUUAUGGGACUGAAAAAGCCCAGGGAAACAGAAGUUGCUGUUCUCAUUAAAGGAGAGAGGUAUUUUUAUUCAUUGUUUUUAUUCACAUCAGUUAAUUUAACAUGCCUUGAAGGGGCCUCUUCCAUGGCAGUGGUAUUAAAGUCGCAGCUUACUCACUGAUUAUAAACAAACAUUAGUCAAGUUUACUUACCAAAGUUGGUGCACGGAUAAAAAGCAAAAGAAUUACCUCGCACCUGACAGAUGAGAUGAGUCCCAGGGGGCUCCUCUGGCCUUGUGACAAUAUGCCAUGGAGGAAACUUGGAACAGACUCCAAAUUCCUUAACUGUGACUUGGGAAACUGGCUAAGCUGGUCCAUACCUGCCUCUCUCUCUCAUCUCCUGACCUCUAUCCUUGACUUGCUAUUGUGAUGCCUACCUGGCUGUUCUGUUUACCAUCACCACCUAUGUCAUGUCACAGGGUUCUGCAUAUAUCACUAACAUGGCCAGCUACUUCUCUUCUUGAACCUCAAUUUUAUUUUCUGAUAUGUGUGUGUGGUACUGAGGACGGAAACUGGCUUUCACACUGAGCUAUGUCUCUGGCCUUUUCAUUUUUUCUUUGGAGACAAAUUCUUGCCAAGUCAUGAAGUUGCCCAGACUGGGCUCAAACUUAGGAUCCUCCUGCCUCAGGUUCCAGAGUGCUGGGGUUAUAGGCAUGAAGCACUAUGCCUGGCCUUAAAUUUUAAAGUUCCAUUUUAAAUAUUAUUUUUUAUUUUUUGGUACCUGGGAUCAAACUCAUGACCUCAUACUUAUCAGGCAGGGACUUAUACCACUGAGCUAAAUCCCCGGCCCUAAAUAUUAUCUCUUUAGAAAUGUCUCCACUGGUUGCCUUCAAAUGGAGGUUUCAUUGCACUGUUUUCUUCAAAUUAGUUACACAAAUUACCAGUUACUUAUAUGCAUGCUUAUUUAUUAUCUGAUAGAUUGCAGUCUCUUCGACUAGGCAGUGAUUUCAUAGGUUAAUCACCCAUUUUAGUCAUGAAAAAAAGAAACAGGUUCCCAUAGAUAUCCUUAAGAGAAAUGGAAGCCAAGAGAUUAGCAAUGAGAGUGUAACUAAUGACCUGGAUAGAUUUUCUCAGGGUGGUAGACCUGCUGGGGUGGAUUCUCAGCUGGAGAUCAGUCUAGUAGAGACAGUAGGAAAAGAAGUCCAGGAUUACAUAGAACCUAGAAAAAAGCCGGUGAAGUCAAAGUCAGAGCAAGGAAAGAGACAGAGCUUAAAACAGACCAAAUCUUACACCCACAUUGGGCUCUUCAGUGAGUUUCUCCGCAAUUUCCUGGAUAACCUAGCUCAAGACUAUUGCUCCAGUCCAUCAGGGUUGGGAGAAUGGAGUGGAUCUCGAUCUGCUGGGAUAGCAAAUUCAUUUCCUGCUGAAAGGUGCUGUUUUUCUUUGAGUCACAGAGCAAUCCUUUCUUUUUAAAAAAAAAUUAAAUUUUUUAUUUUAGUUUGAAGAGAAUUAAACCAAAUGAGACAAAACAAAAUAGUCAAUCAAAACAAAAGGAUCAACAUGGUUCAUGACUUAAAAACAAAAUACAAGGAGAUCAAUUAUGGCUACCAUAAUGUCUCUUGUUAUCUUCAAAAGAAUUGCCCAUAUCAUCAGGUAUAAUAAAAUUGAACAACACAAUACAGAACAAAAUCAAUAAAAACCAAGCUUUUUAUUGGCAUUAUUCUGAUGGAUCUUUUCCUCCAGCCUGGCUUCCCUGAUGGAAAUUUUGCACCUUUGGUCUAAGAAGCAGUUUUUAAAACUUGAGCUGCUCUCCUUCCUUCUCCCAAUUUGACUGCUUUCUGCCUCAUUCGUACGUUGAAUUUUUCUUCAAGGUUUGUUUCUUUUCCACAAAAUCUCACCCUUACCUUCUUGAACGGGAACCCAGGAUUCUUCCUGGUUUGCAGCCUGCCCUGCAGUACAGAAGCUUCUUCCGCUCUGCUUUGCUGUUGUUAUAGUAACAGCAGAUGUGCCUUCUGGAAUGUUCUGUUUCCUGGGAACACUGUUGGGAGGAUCAUCAGAGAUAUUUUACUUGGUCACAACUACAUUGCAAAUUAAAAAGAAAAUAUUCUGUCCCCACAACUGUGUUUACUUUGUUGCCUUAUAAGACAUCAGGAGAACUUGACAGGGUAAUAGAACCAAACCUUGGCAAAAAAUAGGACAUGGAACAGGAUGGAAUCUGAUGUUGAGUAGGUUCCACUUUACGGAAGAAAACAUAAUGCUAAUAAAUUUAUUGUACAUCGAUUACCAGGAUAAAUUGGGCAAUAAACUAUGCAGACAUAAUGGAAACUUCACCAUUGCCAAAUAGAUGAUAAAUGAUAUAAAACAGUGGAUUAUUUUGCUUAUCUUCAAUUAGAAUGUUUGCAAAAUGAGUGAAACAAUGAAUUUAAAUGCAGAAAGCAUAUAUUAUCAUAAACAUAUUUGCUAAAACAGAAAGCAUAAAUUGUGGUGAAAUUUAGUAGUGUCUCCUGUUAUGCAUGAAUGUUUAUUUGUGAUUAAAUGUGAACAAUUGCUCCUUUAAGGUAAAGGUCUGUGAAUGUGUGAUUAAUCAAGUUGAAAUGAAAGUGCAGACAGCUCAUGCCAUGCCUAGUUAUCAAAAUGAUUGAUUUUAGCCUGUGCUUCUAGGUGAAAAAAUAUCUGUUAAUAACCCCAGCAACCAAACCCCUGAUGUCACUAGUAGCUAGAUGAUUUGUGCGCAUUUUGCAUUACUGGGCUUAUUUGCAGGUAGAGAGUACAAUGAUCCAUUGGAUCGCAAAAUUAUAACAUGCAAACGGUGACAUUCAGAUUUCUGCAAGAGUUAUGACUGCAAAGUGCAUUUCAUCAGUGAGGAGUUUAAAAUUGCUGCUGUUGUAGUUGUCACGAGCAUGUUAUUUUCUUUGGUUUGCGUGGAGGCAAGACUGUCAAGGUUUUCUCACACAAACUGGUGUUUUUAUAUACCACAGCUCUCUGCUGGCUGGGGAUAGCCAGCCUCUGAUCCGAGUUGUUAUUAAGUCUUCAGCUUUAAGAUAGUACUUUACCAACUUGGUUGAAUUACACUUGAUCAUAAAUACCUUAAUGUUUUACUGGGUAGAAAAGGCUUAAUGCAAAACAGGAAAUGGCUCUGCCAAGAAAUGGUGGUGGGUUUGGGGUAGUGUCUGCUGUUUGUUAUUGCUGGAGAGAAAAAUGUGUUGGACUAAAAUUUCCAGUUAAGGGUCUGGAAAUGAAGUAUGAAGAGUCAAAGAAAAUUUUACAUACAGAAUGUGGGUAAAUUCUCCAUCCUGUAACCUAUGAUUUUCCAGGUCUAGCUGUUAUAUCAUCUGAUUGUCAAAAACUCUGGCCAGUUCGUACUGCCAAGGAAAUGUAUUCUCUCAUAACUACCAGCAGUUCAUUUCUGGGUAUACAUUGGUCCAAAAUGUCUGAAGAAAUUUAGUUUUUUUUUUCUUAUACUCACUGCUGUGUUUAGUUCUUUGAUUCACAGAAACCAGGAGAAAUUAAUAGAGUAGCAGAGGCAAAUCAUGGAAAAAAAGCAACGAUGUCUUUGGUAUGAUGAAAUAACAUGUCCAAUAUGUGCGAUCUCUAUGGAAGGAUUUGCAAUGCUAGUCAUGUUCCUGUACUUUGCUUAUUAUAAGAUCAUACUCUGAGGUAUAUAGUACAGUAUAUGAAUAUAUGGAGACUGUCAAAUGCUGGGAAUAAUAGGAAAGCUAAACCACCUGGAUACAUUUACUUAGGUUUAACUGUAAUACUUAUUAAAUGAAUAUAGCAACGUACUCAGAAAAUUCCACACAAUUGUCUGGCAUAAUACCUGGCCCACUAAGGCAUGCUAUAAGUAAGAGCCAUUGUUACUGUGGCUAUUACAAUUGUAAACAAGAAGGUAGAACAGUUAUAACAUGCACAUAUUUCUGGCUAAUGGCUGCAUAACAUAGACCAGAACACAAUGCAAAAUGAAGCAAAGUUUCCCAAAGGUAACUUUGCCUGAGAAGCCAGUGAGUCCCUCUCAGAGCUUGUGUGCCCUGGCUCUUAAAUACCUUAUGACAAUCCUGCUCUAAAUCUCUGUGAAUGUGCUUUCCAAGGCAGGUAACCACUAGCCAUAUGUGGCAUUAAAAUAAAUAAAAUUAAAAAUUCAGUUCCUCUGUUGUACUAACCACAUUUGAAUGUGCUCGGCAGCCACUAUAGCUGUGGUUACCCUACUGGACACACAAGGAACAUUUCUAUGAGUAAGAGUUGUACUGGAUAGUGAAGCUCUUAAUUGAGCCCUGCAAAGACCCUAGACUUUAGGACCUAAAAACUGUACAAUACAGGAAAAAAAAAAAAAAAAACAAAAACAAAGAACUAUGCAGUCUGGUGAGGACCACAGCUGUGUGUGGAAGACAAUUGGCAAGGAAUUAAGGAAGAACUAAUUGUGCCCUAUAGAAGCAUUUAAAGGCCUUGGCUUCUGUUGAGUGACUCAAUAGUUGGUAGAAAUGGGCAGGUUAAUUGGGAAACUCAUCAGUGACCCUUUAGCACUACUCUGCAUCAUGUAGGGGAGCUCAUGGGUCCCGAGAAGCAGGAAUGGAGGAAAAAAUAAAAGCAAGAGGUCACCCAAGGGAAAAGCGGCGUGUGGCAGAGGGAUUUGAGAAUCAUGAGCAUUAUCUUUAGAAAGUGGCUUCUUUAAAUGCAUCGUGAUUUGAUGGUUUAUUUAAUGCAUCUGAGUUUAAUCGUGCUUAGAAAGCAAGCAAGCUCAUUCCUGGUUUUUCACUCAUAUGAGUAAGUUCCCAGUUACCUAUCACAUCUUCAUGAUUGGUGUUACAUUUAUUGAUGACACUCACUUCAUUAAUCCCAAGGGCGACAGGAGUUAACCUUUGUCUUAGUCUUGACAAUUGCUAGAACUACAAUUGACAGCACUGCCUCAGAAGAAGUUUCUAGAAUGUAAUUCCUGUGAUACUAUACUAACAUUGUGUUAUAGAGACAAGGUGAAAGAUAGGUGACUUCUCCACAAGAGUUUCCCAACUUUCUUCAUAGUUUUUCUUUUCUUUCUUUUUUCCUCCAAACAAUUUAUGUCACUUCAGUUAGAGAACACUGUAGAAUCCUGGCCUGAAAGAUUCCUCCACAAAUAACCUCAUAGGGAAUUUGAAUGCAUUGAAUUUUGCUAAACUUCACUGAACUGAAAACUGAAAUUGUCACUUAUUGGAGAAUGAAGUAGAUUGGAUAGCAUUGUCAGCAUAUUAAAUCUGGGGUGAAGGUUAUAAGUGUUAUUGAUUGUUUUUAAAUUACAGAAGUGUCUGUGCAUUUCAUACCAAUUUUAGUUCAUUUUUUAGAAAUCAAGAAAUACAUUAGAAUUGUGGUGCUGGCCGAGACCUCAAAUGGCAAUCUCAUCUUUCCUCUUAGACUAUAAACCACGUUGAAAAAAAUUGAUCUUGGGGAGCUCAUUGUGAGCAGAAGAGAGGGAUGGUGUGCAGAGCACUGGUCUACGUGCUUGUGGUAUCUGUACUCUAAUCCCAGCUUGGCCCCAAUCUCUUUCAGGCCUGGGCUUCAGAUUCCUUAUUGGUCAAAUGAGGUAAAUGGACAAAAUAGUUUCCAUAGCAUUUUCUAACUGUGUUAGUUUUCUGUUGCUGCAUAACACAUUACCACAAACUCAGUGUGGUUUAAAACAGCACCCAUGUAUCAUCUGUCAGUUCUGUAGGUCUGAAGUUCCAGAGGGCUCCAUUAAAUUCUUUGCUCAAGAUCCCUCAAAGGUAAGCACGAGGCAAUGCCUGGGUGGACUUCUAUCCAAAGACCCCAAAGGAGAGUCCUCACCCAAACCCAUAUGUGUUGUUGUCAGGAUUAGAUUCCUUGUGGUUGUAGAAUUAAGGUUCCUGUUUCUUGCAGGCUGUUCUCUGGGGGUCACUCUUCGCUGUCAGAGGUCACCCACGUUCUUCCCCUGGUAGCUCCUCCAUUGUCAAGCCAACAAUGGCAGAACAAAUCCAUCUCAUGCUUCAACCUGGCCACUUUCUCUUUUGGUUACCAGCCUAAGAGAAUUCUGCUUCAAAGGACUCGUAUGAUCAGAAUGAUCAGAGUACCCUGCCUAGAGAUUUCUCUUCUACUUAACUCCAAAUUGUUUGAUUAGUAAUCUUAAUAGCAAACACAAAAUACUGCCACGCGACAUCAUCAUGGGUCCUUAACUCAUGGGUUUCACUGUGGAGCGCAUGGCGAGUAUCUUAGCAAGCCAUCUGAACUUCUGUCCAUCACACUAACUCUGAAAAUCAUUGAUUAUGCAUCUUCUGAGCCUGCAGAGUACCCGUCUACAAAGUCCUUUCCUUCCCUCACUUCCUCUUAGCAAUCUUUUCUGGUGUCUAGUGCUGUACUUCAUCAUGCAGUUUAAAAUCUUUGCUUGCUGUUCUGUCUGCAGGCUUUUUAUAUCCCUCCUUUGUGUGGGGAGACUGGGGGACAUUUCUAGAGCUGUUUUUUUUUUUUUUUUUCUCAGUGCUAUAGCCAGAGGAGAAUGCGCAACGGUCUUUCAAUCAGACUUAGACUAAAGUCUAAGACUUUAGGUGCAUUUACCAGUGAGCAGCAAGGAAGGGCUCUUCUCCCCUUGGCUCAGUCUUUGCUCUGCUUAGGGCAUUUGUAGGAAGGUGUAUUUUUUUUUCCAGUACUGGUAAUUGAACCCACGGCCUUUUCCCUGAUCUACAUCCCUGGCUCUUUUAAAUUAUUUCUUAUUUCAAGACAGGGUCUUGCCAAAUCACUAAGUUACACAGGCUAGGGUUGCGUUUGUGGUCCUGCUGCUGGAGGCUGUCAUAGAGAUGGAGUUCUGGGCAGGUGGCACCAAUCCUAUGUAGGAUUCCUGAGUCUUUCACCUUUGUGAUGACUUCAAGUGAUUUGGGCGAUUAGAGCAAUGUUAUACAAAUCAGUGGAACAAAAUCGAAUAUACAGGUGAUACACAGAUGAAAAUGAAAAGUACCUCUCCUAUCUACCACCUGCAUAUUGCCUUGCAUAUCUUUCUAAAAAUGUUUCUAUUAUGUGCAUAAAUUAAUUAGGGUAUCGUACAACAUUCAGCCAUUUAUAGUAGAAAGUUUUCAUGCUAAUAAAGAUUUCUAUGUAAUAUUUAAAUGCCUUGCUUCCUGAUAUUUGAUCUCAAUAUUGAGUAUAUCAGCAUUUAUUCAGUCAUUUAUGCUGAACAUUUCUUUCCUAUUAUCAUAAAAAAAUGCUUCGUUAGGGCUGAGGAUUUAGUUCAGUGGUGUAAAUGCCUGCCUGGUAAGUGCAAGGUUGUGAGUUUGAUUCCUGGUACAAAAUAUAUAAUCAAUUAAAAAUUCUUUAAUGAUUCAGGCAUAGUAGUAGACACCAGGGAUCACAGAACUCUUAGAGGCUGAGGGAGGAGGAUUGCAAAUUUGAGCCCAAUCUUGUUUACUUAAUGACUUAGCAAGGCACUGUCUAAAAAAAAAAAAAAAAAAAAAAAAAAAAAAAAAAAAAACAAAAAAAGAAAGAAAGAAAGAAAGAAA